CCGAAGGGAGGAUUGCAGGGCAAGAGGGCAUCUUACAAGGACGGAGGAGACACUGGAAAUCGUGAAGAUGAAAUAAAUGAUUUAAUUGAUAAAAUGAAUUGACAUGGAGCAAUUGUACUUCACCUGAGAUUUCCUAGAGGCAUGUAUCACAGUUUAAAGUUAUUGUGUGUUGGAUUUUGCUACUACUAGUACUACUUACGUAGUUCAUUGGUUUAGUUCAAUUUUU
This 226-nucleotide unclassified non-coding RNA is filed under the name Hevea brasiliensis (rubber tree). The record is from RNAcentral. Lineage: Eukaryota; Viridiplantae; Streptophyta; Magnoliopsida; Malpighiales; Euphorbiaceae.